Molecule: ribosomal RNA, 465 nt
Filed under: uncultured bacterium
Lineage: Bacteria
Description: partial 16S ribosomal RNA
Rfam family: Bacterial small subunit ribosomal RNA
Source: RNAcentral
GACGAACGCUGGCGGCGUGCUUAACACAUGCAAGUCGAACGGAAAGGCCCUGCUUGCAGGGUACUCGAGUGGCGAACGGGUGAGUAACACGUGGGUGAUCUGCCCUGCACUUCGGGAUAAGCCUGGGAAACUGGGUCUAAUACCGGAUAGGAGCCAUUUUUAGUGUGAUGGUUGGAAAGUUUUUUCGGUGUAGGAUGAGCUCGCGGCCUAUCAGCUUGUUGGUGGGGUAAUGGCCUACCAAGGCGGCGACGGGUAGCCGGCCUGAGAGGGUGGACGGCCACAUUGGGACUGAGAUACGGCCCAGACUCCUACGGGAGGCAGCAGUGGGGAAUAUUGCACAAUGGGCGCAAGCCGGAUGCAGCGACGCCGCGUGGGGGAUGACGGCCUUCGGGUUGUAAACUCCUUUCGCUAGGGACGAAGCUUUUUGUGACGGUACCUAGAUAAGAAGCACCGGCUAACUACGUG